GGGGAGUUUCCCGAGCGGUCAAAGGGGGCAGACUGUAAAUCUGUUGGCUAUGCCUUCCAAGGUCCGAAUCCUUGACUCCCCA
Molecule: transfer RNA, 82 nt
Filed under: Treponema denticola
Lineage: Bacteria; Pseudomonadati; Spirochaetota; Spirochaetia; Treponematales; Treponemataceae
Also listed under: 28 other names
Description: tRNA-Tyr(gta)
Rfam family: tRNA
About the family: Transfer RNA (tRNA) molecules are approximately 80 nucleotides in length. Their secondary structure includes four short double-helical elements and three loops (D, anti-codon, and T loops).
Source: RNAcentral